UCAAACUUGGUCAUUUAGAGGAAGUAAAAGUCGUAACAAGGUUUCCGUAGGUGAACCUGCGGAAGGAUCAUUAUUGAAUAAAAUGUAUGAUAAGCUGUUGCUGGCCUCUCCCUGGGGUAUGUGCACGCGUAUCAUCUUUAUUUCUCUACCUGUGCACUGUUUGUAGACUCGGGGGAAGAUAUUGUCUGAGCUAUCGGACAGUUUUAGAGGACUGCUGUGCUGUCUGCCAUCUAAAAAGAGCCAGCUUUGCCUUGUCUCCUAAGUUCUAUGUCAUCUACAUAUGCCUAUGAAUGUAACAGAAUGUUGAUGCUCUGGGUCUUUAUAAUACCCAUAUAAAGUUGUAACAACUUUCAGCAACGGAUCUCUUGGCUCUCGCAUCGAUGAAGAACGCAGC
RNAcentral lists this unclassified non-coding RNA (394 nucleotides) under uncultured fungus. RNAcentral describes it as "partial contains small subunit ribosomal RNA, internal transcribed spacer 1, and 5.8S ribosomal RNA". The stretch from base 1 to 73 matches the Rfam family "Eukaryotic small subunit ribosomal RNA", at positions 1759 to 1831 of the family's 1831-position model. Lineage: Eukaryota; Fungi. The record is from RNAcentral.